Brassica oleracea var. oleracea is the source of this 935-nucleotide long non-coding RNA. RefSeq lists it as uncharacterized. Lineage: Eukaryota; Viridiplantae; Streptophyta; Magnoliopsida; Brassicales; Brassicaceae. The transcript has 3 exons. The record is from RefSeq and is a predicted model, not a curated record.
AAUUCACUGAUCUCUCUUCCUCUUCCUCUGGUUGCUUGCUGCCCCCGCAUGCGCCCUUUCACUGCUCAUAUCAUUGCGCUCUCCAUUAUUAAUUUUCCCAUAACUUCGACAACCCAAGCGUUUCGUAACCGAAAGAGGGAGACCACUAUGAAUAGUAGAGGGCCCAGCAAGGAGACCAACAUCUGAUCUCCUCCCCGCAAGUUAUCAGUGUCUGCGGCUCGCGAUGCUCUCGCUUCCCCAGCUGUGGUUCACCACGCUACUUUUGAUGAUCUUCGUCAUAGAUGUUUGGGUGGUACUGCUCUGUAUUAACACAUUGCAUGCAAGGCAAGGGAAUCUUAUGGUUUCCAACCAGUCUGAAUGUUUCUUUGAAGAGACUAGAGAGGUUGAAGCUUCUCUCCGAUGAGGAGAAGGACCUACACUCCGUCACCACCAAGCGGUUUGGGAGGAGGAAUCAAAGCCCAAGCCCUAAAUGAGGUAAAUAUGGAGGUCGUAGCAGGGGCUUCCUGACAAGCGUUUUGUUUUGCAAUCUAAGCUAUGCUUGCAGGUUUUUGUCAUAUCUUUAACUCCCUUCACCCAUUUUCUUUAGGACGCCAUUAUGUUUUGGAUACCUUUAAACAUAGUUUAGCAUAAGGUUCUCUUAUAUGUUGAAAGUUUUUCAGAAAGUUAAUGUAUAUCUGUCCUCGAUAUGCUUGGUUUGAUGAGUGUUUGUUUUAUGAUAAAAGAAAUCUGAGGGAAAGAUAUGAGAUGGGAUUUUUUUGGUCAUCUAAAUUAUUAUUGAAGCUUCAAGGGCUGAUCUAAGCAAAGCUUAAAAAAAUGAAGCAAAGCCGGCGAAAUAGCAAUAUGGAAAUUGUAGUUUUGGCUUCUAUUGAAAUUGUAGUUCAUAUUAUAGUUGACUAUAACUUCAGUGUUUAAUAUACUUUUUCAUUUUCUGGCAU